UGAGGAACAUGACCUUCGGCGGGGGAUAGCCGGCCCAACGGCCGGGUAAUACCGCGUACGACCACUCGGGGACAUCCCUAGGUGGUGAAAGCAGCAAUGCGCCGAUGGAGUGCCUCGCGGCCUAUCAGCUAGUUGGUGAGGUAACGGCUCACCAAGGCAACGACGGGUAGCUGGUCUGAGAGGAUGGCCAGCCACAUUGGGACUGGGACACGGCCCAGACUCCGUACGGGGAGGCAG
RNAcentral lists this ribosomal RNA (237 nucleotides) under uncultured bacterium. RNAcentral describes it as "partial 16S ribosomal RNA". It matches the Rfam family "Bacterial small subunit ribosomal RNA", at positions 118 to 351 of the family's 1533-position model. The record is from RNAcentral.